Molecule: ribosomal RNA, 858 nt
Filed under: Triticum aestivum (bread wheat)
Lineage: Eukaryota; Viridiplantae; Streptophyta; Magnoliopsida; Poales; Poaceae
Description: partial small subunit ribosomal RNA
Source: RNAcentral
AUGGAAGCAAUGGUGGCCGUGGCUGUGCUUGUGCCUUGGCUAGCAUGGCUCAUCGUCUCUUUCCUUUCCCUCUACCUCCUCAGCCUGCUCGCGCACGCGCGCUCCGGCCUCCCUCCGGGCCCCCGCCCACUGCCGCUCAUCGGCAGUAUCCACCUUCUCGGCGACAAGCCGCACCGCUCUCUUGCUCGCUUAGCCAAGAUCCACGGCCCGCUCAUGUCCAUCCGCCUCGGCACGGUCACCACGGUCGUCGUCUCCUCCCCCGCCAUGGCCCGGGAGUUCCUGCAGAGGCAUGACUCCGUGCUCGCCACCCGGUCCGUGCCUGACGCCACCGGCAAGCACGCGCGGCUCGACGCGCUCCACCACCUCCGGAGCGACAAAGUGAGGGAGCUCACGGACCACGUCGCGCGGCUGGCGCGCGAGGGCACGCCGGUGAACAUCGGCCGCGUGGCCUUCACGACGAGCCUGAACCUUGUCUCCCGAACCAUCUUCUCCAUCGACCUCACGAGCCUCGGUGACCACGGCCGCUCCAAGGAGUUCCAUGAGGUGAUCACGGGCAUGAUGGAAGGCUUGGGGACCCCCAACGUGUCGGACUUCUUCCCGGUGCUGGCGCCGGCCGACCUGCAGGGCAUGCGCUGGCGGUUGGCGCGGCUGUUUGCACGGCUGCACGCCGUGUUCGACGCCGAGGUGGACCAGAGGCUGCGCGGCCGCGACGCCGGCCAGCCCAGGAAGAACGACUACCUCGACGUGCUGCUCGACUUGGCGGCGAGUGAGGAUCGGAAGGACCUGCUCGACCGUGAGACGCUACGCUCACAUCUUACGGUAAACACAACUUACCUCUGCCUCCAGUACCCCCGGUAA